RNAcentral lists this ribosomal RNA (448 nucleotides) under uncultured Planctomycetota bacterium. RNAcentral's name for it is "bacterial SSU rRNA". It matches the Rfam family "Bacterial small subunit ribosomal RNA", at positions 217 to 656 of the family's 1533-position model. The record is from RNAcentral. Lineage: Bacteria; Pseudomonadati; Planctomycetota.
GCUUAGAGAGGGGUCAAUGUCCUAUCAGCUAGUUGGUAGGGUAAUGGCCUACCAAGGCUAAGACGGGUAGCCGGCCUGAGAGGGUGGUCGGCCACACUGGGACUGAGACACUGCCCAGACUCCUACGGGAGGCUGCAGUCAAGAAUCUUUCGCAAUGCCCGAAAGGGUGACGAAGCGACGCCGCGUGUGGGAAGAAGGCCUUCGGGUUGUAAACCACUGUCGGGAGUUAAGAAAUGUAAGGGUGUUAAUAGCAUCCUUACUUGACUAAGGCUCCGGAGGAAGCCACGGCUAACUCUGUGCCAGCAGCCGCGGUAAUACAGAGGCGGCAAGCGUUGUUCGGAAUUAUUGGGCGUAAAGAGCACGUAGGCGGCCUUGUAAGUCAGUUGUGAAAGCCUUCUGCUUAACGGAAGAACAGCAUCUGAUACUGCAAGGCUAGAGUACGGAAGGG